This is a long non-coding RNA of Gasterosteus aculeatus aculeatus (three-spined stickleback), 443 nucleotides long. Lineage: Eukaryota; Metazoa; Chordata; Actinopteri; Perciformes; Gasterosteidae. The record is from Ensembl.
AUCCCUAUGUGUCAUCCUGGGUGCGCGAGCAUUAGCCCGGCGCAUGUGCGUGCACGUACAGUGUGUGUUUGAAGAGGGGCCUGCGCUGCAGUCAGAAUAAUUUAACGUCCAGAUGUGCUGAAGCUUUGGGGAAAUCGAUACGGACGAUGGCUCCCAAGCAGUGGGAGGCUUAACGAUAGAUAUGCAGAAACAACCCCCUUAUCUCCACAUCCCACCACACGGUGCGCUGACAGAGAAUCGCACAAGACAAAAGACAAAGGUAGGCAACGGCACGCCGGUGUGGAACAAUGAGGUUUAAAUACAACCAAAUACAACCUAGUGGUUAUCGCACCAACUCUGUCACACACAGAACAGCGUUGAUUUAACCUUAUUUUCAGCUGUGCAGUACAGUGACGGUUAAAAAACACACCCGAGGAGCGAGGUGUACUUUGAGAAUAUCUGCA